UACGUAGGGUGCAAGCGUUGUCCGGAAUUAUUGGGCGUAAAGAGCUCGUAGGCGGUUUGUCGCGUCUGCUGUGAAAACGCGGGGCUCAACUCCGCGCCUGCAGUGGGUACGGGCAGACUAGAGUGCAGUAGGGGAGACUGGAAUUCCUGGUGUAGCGGUGGAAUGCGCAGAUAUCAGGAGGAACACCGGUGGCGAAGGCGGAUCUCUGGGCCAUUACUGACGCUGAGGAGCGAAAGCGUGGGGAGCGAACAGGA
This 254-nucleotide ribosomal RNA is filed under the name uncultured bacterium. Its description in RNAcentral is "partial 16S ribosomal RNA". It matches the Rfam family "Bacterial small subunit ribosomal RNA", at positions 524 to 777 of the family's 1533-position model. The record is from RNAcentral.